CCUACGGGAGGCAGCAGUGGGGAAUAUUGGACAAUGGGGGGAACCCUGAUCCAGCGACGCCGCGUGAGUGAAGAAGUAUUUCGGUAUGUAAAGCUCUAUCAGCAGGGAAGAAAAUGACGGUACCUGACUAAGAAGCCCCGGCUAACUACGUGCCAGCAGCCGCGGUAAUACGUAGGGGGCAAGCGUUAUCCGGAUUUACUGGGUGUAAAGGGAGCGUAGGCGGUGCAGCAAGUCAGAAGUGAAAGGCCGGGGCCCAACCCCGGGACUGCAUUGGAAACUGUUGAACUGGAGUGCAGGAGAGGUAAGCGGAAUUCCUAGUGUAGCGGUGAAAUGCGUAGAUAUUAGGAGGAACACCAGUGGCGAAGGCGGCUUACUGGACUGUAAAUGACGCUGAGGCUCGAAAGCGUGGGGAGCAAACAGGAUUAGAUACCCUUGUAGUC
RNAcentral lists this ribosomal RNA (440 nucleotides) under uncultured bacterium. RNAcentral's name for it is "partial 16S ribosomal RNA". It matches the Rfam family "Bacterial small subunit ribosomal RNA", at positions 338 to 795 of the family's 1533-position model. The record is from RNAcentral.